CCUACGGGAGGCAGCAGUGGGGAAUCUUGGGCAAUGGGCGAAAGCCUGACCCAGCGACGCCGCGUUGGGGAUGAAGCCCUUCGGGGUGUAAACCCAUGUUGUAGGGGACGAAGAAAGUGACGGUACCCUACGAGGAAGCCCCGGCUAACUACGUGCCAGCAGCCGCGGUAAGACGUAGGGGGCAAGCGUUGUCCGGAAUUACUGGGCGUAAAGGGCACGCAGGCGGUGCGCCAAGUCGAGGGUGUAAAGUUACGGCUCAACCGUGAAAUUGCAAUCGAUACUGGCGCGCUGGAGUGCGGGAGAGGGAAGUGGAAUUCCCGGUGUAGCGGUGAAAUGCGUAGAUAUCGGGAGGAACGCCAGUGGCGAAGGCGGCUUCCUGGCCCGCGACUGACGCUCAUGUGCGAAAGCCAGGGGAGCGAACC
This 422-nucleotide ribosomal RNA is filed under the name uncultured Acetomicrobium sp. RNAcentral's name for it is "bacterial SSU rRNA". It matches the Rfam family "Bacterial small subunit ribosomal RNA", at positions 338 to 774 of the family's 1533-position model. Lineage: Bacteria; Thermotogati; Synergistota; Synergistia; Synergistales; Acetomicrobiaceae. The record is from RNAcentral.